UGGGGAAUCUUCGGCAAUGGACGAAAGUCUGACCGAGCAACGCCGCGUGAGUGAAGAAGGUUUUCGGAUCGUAAAACUCUGUUGGUAGAGAAGAACGUUGGUGAGAGUGGAAAGCUCAUCAAGUGACGGUAACCACCCAGAAAGGGACGGCUAACUACGUGCCUG
This 165-nucleotide ribosomal RNA is filed under the name uncultured bacterium. Its description in RNAcentral is "partial 16S rRNA". It matches the Rfam family "Bacterial small subunit ribosomal RNA", at positions 355 to 511 of the family's 1533-position model. The record is from RNAcentral.